Molecule: ribosomal RNA, 255 nt
Filed under: uncultured bacterium
Lineage: Bacteria
Description: partial small subunit ribosomal RNA
Rfam family: Bacterial small subunit ribosomal RNA
Source: RNAcentral
AGGACGAACGCUGGCGGCGUGCUUAACACAUGCAAGUCGAGCGGAAAGGCCCUUCGGGGUACUCGAGCGGCGAACGGGUGAGUAACACGUGAGUAAUCUGCCCCUAGCUCUGGGAUAGCUCCGGGAAAACCGGGAUUAAUACCGGAUAUGACCACUUUAGACAUCUGUUGUGGUGGAAAGAAUUUCGGCUAGGGAUGAGCUCGCGGCCUAUCAGCUUGUUGGUGGGGUAACGGCCUACCAAGGCGACGACGGGUA